GACAGAGGCGGCAAGCGUUGUUCGGAAUCACUGGGCAUAAAGGGCGCGUAGGUGGUCGGCAAGGUUAGGGGUGAAAUCCCCGGGCUCAACCCGGGAAACGCCUCUAAAACCGUCCGACUGGAGCGAAACAGGGGAGAGUGGAACUCGUGGUGGAGCGGUGAAAUGCGUAGAUAUCACGAGGAACGCCGGCGGCGAAGGCGACUCUCUGGGUUUCUGCUGACACUGAGGCGCGAAAGCUGGGGGAGCAAACGGGAUUAGAUACCCCGGUAGUCCCAGCCGUAAACGAUGAGCACUAGGUAGAAGAGGUACCCAAUCCUUUUCUGCCGGAGAUAACUCGCUAAGUGCUCCGCCUGGGGAGUACGGCCGCAAGGUUGAA
RNAcentral lists this ribosomal RNA (376 nucleotides) under uncultured bacterium. RNAcentral's name for it is "bacterial SSU rRNA". It matches the Rfam family "Bacterial small subunit ribosomal RNA", at positions 524 to 898 of the family's 1533-position model. The record is from RNAcentral.